CCUACGGGAGGCAGCAGUAGGGAAUCUUCCACAAUGGGCGAAAGCCUGAUGGAGCAACGCCGCGUGGGUGAAGAAGGUCUUCGGAUCGUAAAACCCUGUUGUUAGAGAAGAAAGUGCGUGAGAGUAACUGUUCACGUUUCGACGGUAUCUAACCAGAAAGCCACGGCUAACUACGUGCCAGCAGCCGCGGUAAUACGUAGGUGGCAAGCGUUAUCCUGAUUUAUUGGGCGUAAAGGGAACGCAGGCGGUCUUUUAAGUCUGAUGUGAAAGCCUUCGGCUUAACCGGAGUAGUGCAUUAGAAACUGGGAGACGUGAGUGCAGAAGAGGAGAGUGGAACUCCAUGUGUAGCGGUGAAAUGCGUAGAUAUAUGGAAGAACACCAGUGGCGAAAGCGGCUCUCUGGUCUGUAACUGACGCGGAGGUUCGAAAGCGUGGGUAGCAAACAGGAUUAGAUACCCUAGUAGUC
This 465-nucleotide ribosomal RNA is filed under the name uncultured bacterium. RNAcentral's name for it is "partial 16S ribosomal RNA". It matches the Rfam family "Bacterial small subunit ribosomal RNA", at positions 338 to 795 of the family's 1533-position model. The record is from RNAcentral.